UCUUUGUUAGUAUAGUGGUUAGUAUCUCCGCCUGUCACGCGGAAGACCGGGGUUCGAUUCCCCGACAAAGAG
Molecule: non-coding RNA, 72 nt
Organism: Terramyces sp. JEL0728
Lineage: Eukaryota; Fungi; Chytridiomycota; Chytridiomycetes; Rhizophydiales; Terramycetaceae
Source: the annotation of a GenBank genome assembly